This 484-nucleotide ribosomal RNA is filed under the name uncultured bacterium. Its description in RNAcentral is "partial 16S ribosomal RNA". It matches the Rfam family "Bacterial small subunit ribosomal RNA", at positions 30 to 507 of the family's 1533-position model. The record is from RNAcentral.
AUUGAACGCUGGCGGAAUGCUUUACACAUGCAAGUCGAACGACAGCACGGGGGCAACCCUGGUGGCGAGUGGCGAACGGGUGAGUAAUACAUCGGAACGUGCCCGGUCGUGGGGGAUAACGUAGCGAAAGUUACGCUAAUACCGCAUACGAUCUGAGGAUGAAAGCGGGGGACCUUCGGGCCUCGCGCGAUCGGAGCGGCCGAUGUCAGAUUAGGUAGUUGGUGGGGUAAAGGCCUACCAAGCCGACGAUCUGUAGCUGGUCUGAGAGGACGACCAGCCACACUGGGACUGAGACACGGCCCAGACUCCUACGGGAGGCAGCAGUGGGGAAUUUUGGACAAUGGGCGCAAGCCUGAUCCAGCCAUUCCGCGUGCAGGACGAAGGCCUUCGGGUUGUAAACUGCUUUUGUAUGGAACGAAAAGGCUCUGGCUAAUACCUGGGGCUCAUGACGGUACCGUAAGAAUAAGCACCGGCUAACUACGUG